AAGAACAACAGGGGAUUGCCCUAGUAACGGCGAGUGAAGCGGCAACAGCUCAAAUUUGAAAUCUGGCUCUUUCAGAGUCCGAGUUGUAAUUUGCAGAGGGCGCUUUGGCUUUGGCAGCGGUCCAAGUUCCUUGGAACAGGACGUCACAGAGGGUGAGAAUCCCGUACGUGGUCGCUAGCUAUUGCCGUGUAAAGCCCCUUCGACGAGUCGAGUUGUUUGGGAAUGCAGCUCUAAAUGGGAGGUAAAUUUCUUCUAAAGCUAAAUAUUGGCCAGAGACCGAUAGCGCACAAGUAGAGUGAUCGAAAGAUGAAAAGCACUUUGGAAAGAGAGUCAAACAGCACGUGAAAUUGUUGAAAGGGAAGCGCUUGCAGCCAGACUUGCUUGCAGUUGCUCAUCCGGGCUUUUGCCCGGUGCACUCUUCUGUAGGCAGGCCAGCAUCAGUUUGGGCGGUGGGAUAAAGGUCUCUGUCACGUACCUCUCUUCGGGGAGGCCUUAUAGGGGAGACGACAUACCACCAGCCUAGACUGAGGUCCGCGCAUCUGCUAGGAUGCUGGCGUAAUGGCUGUAAGCGGCCCGUCUUGAAACACGGACCAAGGAGUCUAACAUCUAUGCGAGUGUUUGGGUGUCAAGCCCGAGCGCGUAAUGAAAGUGAACGGAGGUGGGAACCCGCAAGGGUGCACCAUCGACCGAUCCUGAAGUUUACGGAAGGAUUUGAGUAAGAGCAUGGCUGUUGGGACCCGAAAGAUGGUGAACUAUGCUUGAAUAGGGUGAAGCCAGAGGAAACUCUGGUGGAGGCUCGCAGCGGUUCUGACGUGCAAAUCGAUCGUCAAAUUUGGGCAUAGGGGCGAAAGACUAAUCGAACUAUCUAGUAGCUGGUUCCUGCCGAGUUU
This 890-nucleotide ribosomal RNA is filed under the name Bipolaris maydis (southern corn leaf blight pathogen). RNAcentral describes it as "partial large subunit ribosomal RNA". It matches the Rfam family "Eukaryotic large subunit ribosomal RNA", at positions 56 to 968 of the family's 3401-position model. The record is from RNAcentral. Lineage: Eukaryota; Fungi; Ascomycota; Dothideomycetes; Pleosporales; Pleosporaceae.